GAUGAACGCUGGCGGCGUGCUUAACACAUGCAAGUCGAACGGAAAGGCCCUGCCUUUCUGGGGUACUCGAGUGGCGAACGGGUGAGUAACACGUGAGUAACCUGCCCUUCACUUUGGGAUAAGUUCAGGAAACUGGGUCUAAUACCGGAUAGGAGCUCCUGUUGCAUGGCGGGGGUGGGAAAUUUUCGGCGGUUGGGGAUGGACUCGCGGCUUAUCAGCUUGUUGGUGGGGUAGUGGCUUACCAAGGCUUUGACGGGUAGCCGGCCUGAGAGGGUGUACGGCCACAUUGGGACUGAGAUACGGCCCAGACUCCUACGGGAGGCAGCAGUGGGGAAUAUUGCACAAUGGGCGCAAGCCUGAUGCAGCGACGCCGCGUGGGGGAUGACGGCCUUCGGGUUGUAAACUGCUUUCGCUUGUGACGAAGCGUGAGUGACGGUACCGGGAGAAGAAGCACCGGCUAACUACGUG
Molecule: ribosomal RNA, 468 nt
Filed under: uncultured bacterium
Lineage: Bacteria
Description: partial 16S ribosomal RNA
Rfam family: Bacterial small subunit ribosomal RNA
Source: RNAcentral